This is a long non-coding RNA of Amphiprion ocellaris (clown anemonefish), 771 nucleotides long. Lineage: Eukaryota; Metazoa; Chordata; Actinopteri; Pomacentridae. The record is from Ensembl.
GAGACAGAGGAGGAAUUUCGGGCGAAAGGCUGAGACAACGAAAACAGCUGCGAGCACACCAAAAAAAAAAAGGACAGGCACAGAGAGAGAGGAAGGGGACGUAGCUUAGUCAGUCGACAAGCGAGCUAUGUGGCAGGACAGAGUGGGAGGACGAGACUGAAAUUGACCGAGUGUUUCAUCAGAUACACGGCUAGCUGUACGUGGCUAACGAGUUUUAGCUUCGAAUUUUGGCGUUUUUCACGGUAGCUACCUGGAAACCGACAAAGCAUCACUGAACACGGCAGGGAGAUAAAAGGCCAAACUCCCAGACGACAGAGACGCGUCACUUCAGACUCCUUGAGUCCACCUUUUGUUUUUAAUAAGGAGGAAGGAAGCGAAAAGAGGGAGACAACAAACUGGAGGAGUGAGGCAGUCUGACCCAGUGGAAGCAGAAACGACAGAGGAAGACAGAAAGAGAGAAAAGAAAGCCACCAGAUGAAAUAGAGGAAGGAAGGGGGACAGUGACACGGCGAGAUAAACCCCCAUCUUUCUGAAAGGGCAGCGUGUGAAGGGUGGACCGAGGACAGAGCACAGCUGAGUGGCCAGACAUGAGAGAUGUCACAAAAGGGCCCAUUCAAGAUGACUGCUUAUGUCAGCGAUCCAAAAUAAAUCAUUUCAGAUCUAUAACAGGGCAGAAAAUUAACCCAAUCCAAACACGAUGUCAGGGUUAGUGGGUGAAUCACUGGCUCACUGUCAGGUUUGCGUGUUAUGCAACAUACUUAAAUAACUCAC